UACGAAGGGGGCUAGCGUUGUUCGGAAUCACUGGGCGUAAAGGGCGCGUAGGCGGCCAAAUAAGUCGGGGGUGAAAGCCUGUGGCUCAACCACAGAAUUGCCUUCGAUACUGUUUGGCUCGAGACCGGAAGAGGUAAGUGGAACUGCGAGUGUAGAGGUGAAAUUCGUAGAUAUUCGCAAGAACACCAGUGGCGAAGGCGGCUUACUGGUCCGGUUCUGACGCUGAGGCGCGAAAGCGUGGGGAGCAAACAGG
This 253-nucleotide ribosomal RNA is filed under the name uncultured bacterium. Its description in RNAcentral is "partial 16S ribosomal RNA". It matches the Rfam family "Bacterial small subunit ribosomal RNA", at positions 524 to 776 of the family's 1533-position model. RNAcentral also lists the same sequence under 1 other name. The record is from RNAcentral.